RNAcentral lists this unclassified non-coding RNA (331 nucleotides) under soil metagenome. Its description in RNAcentral is "partial contains 5.8S ribosomal RNA, internal transcribed spacer 2, and large subunit ribosomal RNA". The stretch from base 1 to 120 matches the Rfam family "5.8S ribosomal RNA", at positions 35 to 154 of the family's 154-position model. The record is from RNAcentral.
GAUGAAGAACGUAGCGAAAUGCGAUAAGUAAUGUGAAUUGCAGAAUUCAGUGAAUCAUCGAAUCUUUGAACGCACAUUGCGCCCCCUGGUAUUCCGGGGGGCAUGCCUGUUCUAGCGUCAUUUCACCACUCAAGCCUCGCUUGGUAUUGGGCAACGCGGUCCGCCGCGUGCCUCAAAUCGACCGGCUGGGUCUUCUGUCCCCUAAGCGUUGUGGAAACUAUUCGCUAAAGGGUGUUCGGGAGGCUACGCCGUAAAACAACCCCAUUUCUAAGGUUGACCUCGGAUCAGGUAGGGAUACCCGCUGAACUUAAGCAUAUCAAUAAGCGGAGGA